Molecule: long non-coding RNA, 865 nt
Organism: Tupaia belangeri chinensis (Chinese tree shrew)
Lineage: Eukaryota; Metazoa; Chordata; Mammalia; Scandentia; Tupaiidae
Exons: 4
Source: RefSeq, a predicted model, not a curated record
UUUACAAUUCAACCAAGUCCUAACGCAUGGAUUUUGUGGGAAUAUGUAAACCAUAGCAACCAAGGAGAAGAAUUCUGUUACUUCUAGGCACCAUUACUGAUACACAUUUUGUGUGCUAGUCAGAUGCUUCAUAUGCAUUUUUAGUCUAAAUAUGAUGUCCAAGUUACAGGUGCUAUUGUUAUCUUCCUUUUACAGGUGAGUUAACUCUUUACAGAGUUAACAUAAUGGCUACAUACGAUUGCACCAGAGAGUCUGCAGACAUCUACACAAACAAGAAGUGCUGAGUCAGUUCAAUUCACCAUUUUAGCAAUGUCAUGAAGAUUCAAGUAUUUUCAAGAUCAGCUCAACAGCUCAGUAAUGUCAGCAAUCAGAGUCCUGCCUCUGUUCUGCUACUCCUAGAUGAAGAUAUGAAUAACGCCCUCACCAGUACUGAAGCCAUAUGGGAAGGUCCUGAUCUCACAUCCUGAAGUCUCAAUAUGAGCACCAGGCAUAUACAUGCAUGCCCAUGAGGCCGGGUUUACAUCGUGGCAUGAAGAUCCUGCUGGAGCUGCACUUGAAAUCUGGGCCAAUCCCAGCUUUUUCGUUUUACACACGGCAUAAUCAUUUUGUUUCUAACCUCUUUCACAUAUAACCUUUCAAAAGCUGCUUUCUGUGUUGUUGGCAUUGAGCCAAUUUAUCCUCUACAAAUUUUGUAUUUCUAAGCCUUAAGGUUACAACAAGCCAUAUUGUUGUGCAGCUUCUUAUACAGGAUGUGAAUUUAAAGAGAACGUGAGUCUCUGAGACUGCAAUUCUCAGGUAUUAAAAAUAACAAUACAGAGGCAGAAGAAGCCGGGCCUUCAGAAGAAGGUUUCACAUGGCUCCAGCA